Molecule: long non-coding RNA, 464 nt
Filed under: Lactuca sativa (garden lettuce)
Lineage: Eukaryota; Viridiplantae; Streptophyta; Magnoliopsida; Asterales; Asteraceae
Description: long non-coding RNA (LSAT_LNC008838)
Source: RNAcentral
ACUGUUCUGAAUGUAGUCUUCUACCAAGACCUAACUGUUCUGAAUGGAGUCUUCUACCAAGACCUAACUACUCUGAAUGUAGUUUUCUACCAAGACCUAACUGUUCUGAAUGUAGUCUUCUACCAAGACCAAGCUGUAUUAGUAUUACCCUUUGGGACAAGGGCAACUAACAAUGUUAACUGAAGACAUCCGUAGAUGUACAUUUACCUCUGUUGCUAACAGCUGGGUAUAGGAAUAGUCAGUCCCCAAAAGUAUACCUGUAAUGGUAUCAACCGUUGACAUCCAUGGAUGUGCUUUUACCUCUGUAGCUAACAGAGAUUCUAGGAAUGGUCAGUCCCGCAACGUAUCCUUGGGUACUAGGAUAUUAAAUCCAAUCUAUCUCGUCGAUUAUGUGAUUGAAUCACAAGGUAAAGAUAAGAAUGAGGAUUAUAUAACAGAAUCUAUACAUAUAAAAUGUACUAGUA